UACGGAGGGGGUUAGCGUUGUUCGGAAUGACUGGGCGUAAAGCGCGCGUAGGCGGACCUGCAAGUCGGGGGUGAAAUCCCGGGGCUCAACCCUGGAAUGGCCUUCGAGACUGCCGGUCUUGAGUUCGAGAGAGGUGGGUGGAAUUCCGAGUGUAGAGGUGAAAUGCGUAGAGAUGUGGAGGAACACCAGUGGCGAAGGCGGCUUUCUGGUCUGUAACUGACGCUGAGGCGCGAAAGCGUGGGGAGCAAACAGG
RNAcentral lists this ribosomal RNA (253 nucleotides) under uncultured bacterium. Its description in RNAcentral is "partial 16S ribosomal RNA". It matches the Rfam family "Bacterial small subunit ribosomal RNA", at positions 524 to 776 of the family's 1533-position model. The record is from RNAcentral.